This 541-nucleotide ribosomal RNA is filed under the name uncultured bacterium. RNAcentral describes it as "partial 16S ribosomal RNA". The record is from RNAcentral.
GGAGUUAGCCGGUGCUUCUUCUGUGAGUGAUGUCCUUCCUGCCGGCUAUUAACCCGCAGGCCUUCUUCCUCACUGAAAGUGCUUUACAACCCGAAGGCCUUCUUCACACACGCGGCAUGGCUGGAUCAGGGUUGCCCCCAUUGUCCAAUAUUCCCCACUGCUGCCUCCCGUAGGAGUCUGGGCCGUGUCUCAGUCCCAGUGUGGCUGAUCAUCCUCUCAGACCAGCUACGGAUCGUCGCCUUGGUGAGCCGUUACCUCACCAACCAGCUAAUCCGACAUAGGCUCAUCCGAUAGCGCGAGGCCCGAAGGUCCCCCGCUUUCCCCCGUAGGGCGUAUGCGGUAUUAGCCUGGGUUUCCCCAGGUUAUCCCCCACUACCGGGCAGAUUCCUAUGCAUUACUCACCCGUCCGCCGCUCGCCACCAGGGAGCAAGCUCCCCGUGCUGCCGCUCGACUUGCAUGUGUUAGGCCUGCCGCCAGCGUUCAAUCUGAGCCAGUGANACAACUCGCGACUAGAGGCGGUCGUCGACGACGGCGACUAGAG